AUUAAAAAUAAUAGUGUGUGUUUGAAACACAGAUAUUAUCUUCAAUGUAUAGAAGAUAAUAAACGUUCCACAGAAAUUCAAGUUGAUCGCAAACGAACACGUGAAUAGUAAGUCUUAUGACGAUGCAUUGGUUUGCCUUGGCUGUGAUGACAUGCCUACUACUGACGAUACUAAGUAUGGGCAUAUAUAAUUUCCGUUUAUUUUUAGAAAUACGUGAACUUAAAAGGCCAGGAUAACGAAAAUUUAGACAGUGUACGUGCCAAUUUUUAUACGCCGUCCGGUCCGUCGACCCGGAUUUCAAUUUUUAAUCGUUUAUUUUAUU
Teleopsis dalmanni is the source of this 322-nucleotide long non-coding RNA. RefSeq lists it as uncharacterized. NCBI's taxonomy places the organism in Eukaryota, Metazoa, Arthropoda, Insecta, Diptera, Diopsidae. The record is from RefSeq and is a predicted model, not a curated record. The transcript has 3 exons.